Molecule: ribosomal RNA, 2893 nt
Filed under: Stenotrophomonas maltophilia
Lineage: Bacteria; Pseudomonadati; Pseudomonadota; Gammaproteobacteria; Lysobacterales; Lysobacteraceae
Description: bacterial LSU rRNA
Rfam family: Bacterial large subunit ribosomal RNA
Source: RNAcentral
GUUAUAUGGUCAAGCGAAUAAGCGCACACGGUGGAUGCCUUGGCGGUCAGAGGCGAUGAAGGACGUGGCAGCCUGCGAAAAGUAUCGGGGAGCUGGCAACAAGCUUUGAUCCGGUAAUGUCCGAAUGGGGAAACCCACCCGCUUGCGGGUAUCCUGCAGUGAAUACAUAGCUGCUGGAAGCGAACCUGGUGAACUGAAAUAUCUAAGUAACCAGAGGAAAAGAAAUCAACCGAGAUUCCGUAAGUAGCGACGAGCGAACGCGGACUAGCCCUUAAGCUGGAUUGGUUCUAGGAAAACGCUCUGGAAAGAGCGGCCAUAGAAGGUGAUAGCCCUGUAUCUGAAAGGGCCAUUCCAGUGAAGACGAGUAGGGCGGGGCACGUGAAACCCUGUCUGAACAUGGGGGGACCAUCCUCCAAGGCUAAAUACUACUGACCGACCGAUAGUGAACCAGUACCGUGAGGGAAAGGCGAAAAGAACCCCGGAGAGGGGAGUGAAAUAGAACCUGAAACCGUGUGCGUACAAGCAGUAGGAGCUCCGCAAGGAGUGACUGCGUACCUUUUGUAUAAUGGGUCAGCGACUUACUGUUCGUGGCAAGCUUAACCGUAUAGGGGAGGCGAAGGGAAACCGAGUCUGAUAAGGGCGCAUAGUCGCGGGCAGUAGACCCGAAACCGGGUGAUCUAGUCAUGCCCAGGGUGAAGGUGCGGUAACACGCACUGGAGGCCCGAACCCACUCCCGUUGCAAAGGUAGGGGAUGAGGUGUGAUUAGGAGUGAAAAGCUAAUCGAACCCGGAGAUAGCUGGUUCUCCUCGAAAGCUAUUUAGGUAGCGCCUCAUAUGUAUCCUCUCGGGGGUAGAGCACUGUUAUGGCUAGGGGGUCAUCGCGACUUACCAAACCAUUGCAAACUCCGAAUACCGAGACGGACUGUAUGGGAGACACACGGCGGGUGCUAACGUCCGUCGUGAAAAGGGAAACAACCCAGACCCACAGCUAAGGUCCCAAAUUUUGUGCUAAGUGGAAAACCAUGUGGAAAGGCACAGACAGCCAGGAGGUUGGCUUAGAAGCAGCCACCCUUUAAAGAAAGCGUAAUAGCUCACUGGUCGAGUCGGUCUGCGGGGAAGAUUUAACGGGGCUAAGCACAGAACCGAAGCUUGGGGUGCAUAACUUUGUUAUGCGCGGUAGAGGAGCGUUCCGUAAGCCGUUGAAGGUGGAUUGAGAAGUCUGCUGGAGGUAUCGGAAGUGCGAAUGCUGACAUGAGUAACGAUAAUGCGGGUGAAAAACCCGCACGCCGAAAGCCCAAGGUUUCCUUGCGCAACGUUAAUCGGCGCAGGGUGAGUCGGCCCUAAGGCGAGGACGAAAGUCGUAGUCGAUGGGAAGCAGGUUAAUAUUCCUGCACCUCGCGUAAGUGCGAUGGAGGGACGGAGAAGGUUAGGUGUACCAGGCGUUGGUUGUCCUGGGGAAAGGCGGUAGGUUUGGAUCUUUGGCAAAUCCGGGAUCCUUUAAGACCGAGCACCGAGACGAGCCUUUAUGGCAAAGUCACUGAUACCACGCUUCCAGGAAAAGCUCCUAAGCUUCAGCUUACGCAGACCGUACCGUAAACCGACACAGGUGGGUAGGAUGAGAAUUCUCAGGCGCUUGAGAGAACUCGGGUGAAGGAACUAGGCAACAUGGCACCGUAACUUCGGGAGAAGGUGCACCCUUUUUGGUGGCUCGUGCGAGCUAUAGCUGAAGAGGGUCGCAGUAACCAGGCCGCUGCGACUGUUUAUCAAAAACACAGCACUCUGCAAACACGAAAGUGGACGUAUAGGGUGUGACGCCUGCCCGGUGCUGGAAGGUUAAUUGAUGGGGUCAGCCGCAAGGCGAAGCUCUUGAUCGAAGCCCCAGUAAACGGCGGCCGUAACUAUAACGGUCCUAAGGUAGCGAAAUUCCUUGUCGGGUAAGUUCCGACCUGCACGAAUGGCGUAACGACAGCGGCGCUGUCUCCACCCGAGACUCAGUGAAAUUGAAAUCGCUGUGAAGAUGCAGCGUUCCCGUGGCAAGACGGAAAGACCCCGUGAACCUUUACUAUAGCUUUACACUGAACGUUGAGUUCGUCUGUGUAGGAUAGGUGGGAGGCUAUGAAACCAUGGCGCUAGCUGUGGCGGAGCCAUCCUUGAAAUACCACCCUGUCGUGCUUGACGUUCUAACCUGGGCCCAUUAUCUGGGUCGGGGACCGUGUAUGGUGGGUAGUUUGACUGGGGCGGUCUCCUCCUAAAGAGUAACGGAGGAGCUCGAAGGUACGCUCAGCGCGGUCGGACAUCGCGCACUGUGUGCAAAGGCAUAAGCGUGCUUGACUGCAAGAUCGACGGAUCAAGCAGGUAGGAAACUAGGACUUAGUGAUCCGGUGGUUCUGUAUGGAAGGGCCAUCGCUCAACGGAUAAAAGGUACUCCGGGGAUAACAGGCUGAUACCGCCCAAGAGUUCAUAUCGACGGCGGUGUUUGGCACCUCGAUGUCGGCUCAUCACAUCCUGGGGCUGUAGUCGGUCCCAAGGGUAUGGCUGUUCGCCAUUUAAAGUGGUACGCGAGCUGGGUUCAGAACGUCGUGAGACAGUUCGGUCCCUAUCUGCCAUGGGCGUUGGAGAUUUGAGAGGGGCUGCUCCUAGUACGAGAGGACCGGAGUGGACGAACCUCUGGUGUUCCGGUUGUCACGCCAGUGGCAUUGCCGGGUAGCUAUGUUCGGAAGCGAUAACCGCUGAAAGCAUCUAAGCGGGAAGCGCGCCUCAAGAUGAGAUCUCCCGGGGCACAAGCCCCCUGAAGGAACCAUGUAGACUACGUGGUUGAUAGGUCAGGUGUGUAAGUACAGCAAUGUAUUGAGCUAACUGAUACUAAUGAUCCGUGCGGCUUGACCAUAUAACCU